GUUAGAACAUGGUCCAUUCGGAGGGAGAUUUUAAGGACCUUGAAAACUAUUGAAUCCAUCAAAAGGAGCUUCUAGAAAGAAGUAGAUGCAUUUCCCCCUCUCUCUGUGGGAAAGUCAAGUGGUCCAUGCAAUUUGAUGUGCAGUGUUUUUGCCAGCAUCUUGGGCACAGCUCCACCUCAGAUGAUGUUAUCGGCCGGAUACACAGUGAUAGAUCAUUGGAGGAGGCUUACAUAGGCGCAGGAUUCGCGCCAAAGACGUCCGGACAGGCAUCAGGAGAAGAGAGCGUGCGGUGAUGACGUCAGUGCCGCAUGCAUCCGACCCGACACAGCCCCUGGCAAC
Long non-coding RNA from Bombina bombina (fire-bellied toad), 339 nucleotides. RefSeq lists it as uncharacterized. Lineage: Eukaryota; Metazoa; Chordata; Amphibia; Anura; Bombinatoridae. The transcript is spliced from 4 exons. The record is from RefSeq and is a predicted model, not a curated record.